AUCACUUCUCGGCCUUUUGGCUAAGAUCAAGUGUAGAAAGCAAGCAUUAACAUGGGAAAAAUCUUAGAAACACAGCUGCUGUUAACUAGAUUAAUUUUUAACAACUACAAAUGGAAUAGGUAUAUUCUCACUGGUUUGUCAGUUUUCAACCAAAU
This 155-nucleotide small nuclear RNA is filed under the name Ictidomys tridecemlineatus (thirteen-lined ground squirrel). RNAcentral describes it as "Spermophilus tridecemlineatus (thirteen-lined ground squirrel) U2 spliceosomal RNA". It matches the Rfam family "U2 spliceosomal RNA". From Rfam's summary of the family: U2 is a small nuclear RNA (snRNA) component of the spliceosome (involved in pre-mRNA splicing). Complementary binding between U2 snRNA (in an area lying towards the 5' end but 3' to hairpin I) and the branchpoint sequence (BPS) of the intron results the bulging out of an unpaired adenosine, on the BPS, which initiates a nucleophilic attack at the intronic 5' splice site, thus starting the first of two transesterification reactions that mediate splicing. Lineage: Eukaryota; Metazoa; Chordata; Mammalia; Rodentia; Sciuridae. The record is from Rfam by way of RNAcentral.